Salarias fasciatus (jewelled blenny) is the source of this 1663-nucleotide long non-coding RNA. RefSeq lists it as uncharacterized. Lineage: Eukaryota; Metazoa; Chordata; Actinopteri; Blenniiformes; Blenniidae. The record is from RefSeq and is a predicted model, not a curated record. The transcript is spliced from 6 exons.
CACUUCCUGGUGUGAGCCGUGCGAGCUGUGCUUACCUGUUGGGCCGCGUUUGGGGAUCAAUUCCCCCUUCAUCUGGGUGUCAACUUGCUGCUAGAUGAGUGGCUGUAGGGAGGUCGCAGACUCCCCACCUCUCCUACUGGGCGUGUCAGUUAAAUGUUUGUUUGCCAGGAGCGGCUAAUCUGCCGUGGAGCCCGCCAGCUGUUUUGUCCUUCCGUGUGGCUUCGAAGUCCAGUGUUGGCACCCAUAAAUACGCCUGGACUGCCUCUGCUCCUUGGAAGUCCGCCGUCUGCAGAAGCUGAGCACGACGGUGGCGGCAUCGGUGUCCCUGGGUGGUGGGUCUCCCUCCCGUGUGAUGUGCUGCGCACCCCUUUUUGUUUGAGUGUGUUCACCUUUAUUUUCAGUGAGUGAGAGUGUCCACGUGUGUCUGGGGUGAUCCUUCCGAGGCCUUCAUUCCCUUUACUACCCGUGUCCCACCGAGGGAAUUCUGGAGAGAGCUGAUCCAGCCAGGUGCUGCACAGUGGCUCCAGGCUUCAGGGCCAUGUGUCUGGAGGCAGCAGGUCAGAGGAGAAUCCUGAUCUCAGGAGGUCGGCACGUGUGCCAAAACCACAGCGGCGGCUGAUAGAAGAGCAGGGUGACGGUGAUGGUGAGGAGAAUGAAGCUCGAUGUGAAGAAGCCAGUUCACCAGCAUCUUCCCAGAGUCCAUCUCCUGAGCAGCUUCGCGGCCGUCCCAGGAGAAGGGCAGGCAGAUCACGGGGUGUCACCGCCCGAAGCAGGUCACCUCACAGUCUGGGUGCACGGAGGUCUGUAGAGGAUCCUGAUGUGGCUCCACCACAACUAAGGUUUGCCCCGAGGCGAACACCAGGGGUGCAACCCCCUCUGAACACUGGGUCACCCACACCGCUCAGUAUUUUCUCCAACUUUUUUGAUUCGGAGAUUUUGCGUCUUUUGUGCCGUAACACCAACCUGAAUGCUGUGAAAGGGACAGUGAAAGCAGUGAAAGGGGGGGGUGUCAUUGCGAGUGGUACCAUCCAAUUUGUACAGUGUACAUAGAUCAUCUGUUCAUUUACUGGAAUCCAAAAUAUUUAUGAAUCUAAUGUGAAUAAAGUGUAAUCUAAUUUGUGAAUGAAAUUCUGUGAAUUGUAUGUAAAUAUCUAAAUAUGCAAAUGUAUGUAAAUCUUUUUCAAUUUCUUACCUUCCUCAGGUGAAGGAUCCACCUGUUGUUUCUCAGUGUGCGUGUGGGCAGAGGGGAGGCAUUCAGCUGUGGAUCCUCUGCCCUCUCUUUGUUUGCCUUCUUUUUGUUGGAGUCACUGUGUUAUUGAAUAUGCAUUUUCUCUGAAUAAUGUUAUGUUGUGUGUAAGAAUUGCCAUAGCUGCUGCUGGGCCCGAGUUAAAAAGGUGUUUGUUCUUUAUCAAAUGAGGCAAAUUUAAGGUAUUAGCACUUCAGUUUUUUAUCUUAUAGGCAUUCCAAAUCAUAAUCAUAUUUUGCCUCAAAAACGCCAGAUAUUUUCUUUACAAAGAAGACUGUAAAAGGCAAACAAAUUGUCCAUUGUCCAUUAUGUUUUGUACAUGUGUUCAUUAUUGUUCAAAUUUGAAAUGUAUUGUGCUUUUGAGCUGCUCAGGCUGCUUUUAUUUUGUUUUACUACAGUAAAAAGAGCUAAAACGCA